UUUGGAUGAAGAGCAAUCAUAGUUGCAUAGGGUAUAAUAGUGUUUUCUGAUAAAGGAAAAAUACCUUUUUUUUUUUCUUUUCUUCAUUCUAAUGUUCUUCAAGAAUGAUUCUCCUUCCAACAGUUUGAUUUCAACAGAAAAGGUACUUUUUCUUUGGCUUGUUGGGCUCCCCCAGACCCCAGAAGGAAGGUGCUAUCAGAUAUUGGAUCUCUGUCAAUGAAGUUGCCUUGCCCAUGCUUAAGACAGAGGAGGUGCAGUCCAGCUCAGAGCACAAGCGUUGACUGAGAGACUUGAAGUCAGCUGAAAGAACUUAUCCUGUGAAGGAGAGGAACCUCCACAAAGGACAUUUGUGAACAGUGAUGACAACAGAAGGAGGAGGUAUGUGAGUGGCACACAAUCUUUACUGGAUAUGGAAGCAAAUAAGAAACCACAACUAAAAGAAAUCAGAUCCACCGUGGAUAACAGCCUAGGGCUCAGCAUUGUGAGGACUACAGGUUAUAAACAUCUCAGACACCAUUGCCACCUUCACAAAUAAAACA
Molecule: non-coding RNA, 539 nt
Organism: Lonchura striata (white-rumped munia)
Lineage: Eukaryota; Metazoa; Chordata; Aves; Passeriformes; Estrildidae
Source: RefSeq, a predicted model, not a curated record